UUAGAGGGUUCUGUGGUGUAGCGGUUAUCACGUCUGCUUUACACGCAGAAGGCCGCGAGUUCGACCCUCGUUUUUUAAU
This is a non-coding RNA of Biomphalaria pfeifferi, 79 nucleotides long. The record is from the annotation of a GenBank genome assembly. NCBI's taxonomy places the organism in Eukaryota, Metazoa, Mollusca, Gastropoda, Planorbidae.